AGAUCAAAUUUAUUGACUCAACCUGGGUUCCUUUUCUCUAUUUUCAGAUUUGAAUUGUAUAACUAUGCAUGUGCUCUUGUCAAAAAGGAAGACCAUGUCAGUGUGCAAAAUGGAAGGAAAGUCCAUUCUGUUACUGGACAACAUAUAUCUCAUCAAAACAAUAGAAAAUUACAAGAGCAAGACUGUUUCCGUUCCAUGUGAUCCAAACAAUUUGAUGCCAGUACGUAUACAAGGAGAAGGACCAUUUUCAGCUAUGUUUUAGAUUUAAAUUGUCUGAUAAAAAAAUGUUUCUUCUUAGCCUUCCUCUUCUGUGAGUUUGUGCUUAAAGUUUUUCUAAAUAUUGGGUACUCAAGACUUCAAUUAUUCAG
RNAcentral lists this long non-coding RNA (368 nucleotides) under Fukomys damarensis (Damara mole-rat). RNAcentral describes it as "lncRNA (ENSFDAG00000028411.1)". The record is from RNAcentral. Lineage: Eukaryota; Metazoa; Chordata; Mammalia; Rodentia; Bathyergidae.